GUACCCUCAAGCUCUUGCUUGGUGUUGGGCGUCUUUGUCUUGCAAAAAGACUCGCCUUAAAACGAUUGGCAGCCGGCCUACUGGUUUCGGAGCGCAGCACAUUUUUGCGCUUGCAAUCAGCAAAAGAGGACGGCAAUCCAUCAAGUACAUUUCUCAC
Molecule: unclassified non-coding RNA, 157 nt
Filed under: Curvularia papendorfii
Lineage: Eukaryota; Fungi; Ascomycota; Dothideomycetes; Pleosporales; Pleosporaceae
Description: sequence contains ITS2
Source: RNAcentral